This 274-nucleotide ribosomal RNA is filed under the name uncultured bacterium. Its description in RNAcentral is "partial 16S ribosomal RNA". It matches the Rfam family "Bacterial small subunit ribosomal RNA", at positions 523 to 796 of the family's 1533-position model. The record is from RNAcentral.
AUACGGAAGGUGCGAGCGUUAAUCGGAAUUACUGGGCGUAAAGCGCGCGUAGGCGGUUUGGUCAGUCGGAUGUGAAAGCCCCAGGCUCAACCUGGGAAUGGCAUUCGAUACUGCCUGACUAGAGUAUGGUAGAGGGAAGUGGAAUUUCCGGUGUAGCGGUGAAAUGCGUAGAUAUCGGAAGGAACACCAGUGGCGAAGGCGACUUCCUGGGCCAAUACUGACGCUAAGGUGCGAAAGCGUGGGGAGCAAACAGGAUUAGAAACCCGGGUAGUCC